Molecule: ribosomal RNA, 434 nt
Filed under: uncultured Oscillospiraceae bacterium
Lineage: Bacteria; Bacillati; Bacillota; Clostridia; Eubacteriales; Oscillospiraceae
Description: partial 16S ribosomal RNA
Rfam family: Bacterial small subunit ribosomal RNA
Source: RNAcentral
ACGGAAGGCAGCAGUGGGGAAUAUUGGGCAAUGGACGCAAGUCUGACCCAGCAACGCCGCGUGAAGGAAGAGGGUCUUCGGAUUGUAAACUUUUGUCUUAUGGGACGAUAAUGACGGUACCAUAGGAGGAAGCCACGACUAACUACGUGCCAGCAGUCGCGGUAAUACGUAGGUGGCGAGCGUUAUCCGGAAUCAUUGGGUGUAAAGGGUGCGUAGGCGGGAUGUAAAGUCAGAUGUGAAAUACCGGGGCUCAACUGCGGGGCUGCAUUUGAAACUUACGUUCUUGAGUGAAGUAGAGGUAAGUGGAAUUCCUAGUGUAGCGGUGAAAUGCGUAGAUAUUAGGAGGAACACCGGUGGCGAAGGCGGCUUACUGGGCUUUUACUGACGCUGAGGCACGAAAGUGUGGGUAGCAAACAGGAUUAGAUACCCUGGUA